GAUGAACGCUGGCGGCGUGCCUAAUACAUGCAAGUCGAACGAGUUCUGAUUAUUGAAAGGUGCUUGCAUCUUGAUUUAAUUUUGAACGAGUGGCGGACGGGUGAGUAACACGUGGGUAACCUGCCCUUAAGUGGGGGAUAACAUUUGGAAACAGAUGCUAAUACCGCAUAAAUCCAAGAACCGCAUGGUUCUUGGCUGAAAGAUGGCGUAAGCUAUCGCUUUUGGAUGGACCCGCGGCGUAUUAGCUAGUUGGUGAGGUAACGGCUCACCAAGGCAAUGAUACGUAGCCGAACUGAGAGGUUGAUCGGCCACAUUGGGACUGAGACACGGCCCAAACUCCUACGGGAGGCAGCAGUAGGGAAUCUUCCACAAUGGACGCAAGUCUGAUGGAGCAACGCCGCGUGAGUGAAGAAGGCUUUCGGGUCGUAAAACUCUGUUGUUGGAGAAGAAUGGUCGGCAGAGUAACUGUUGUCGGCGUGACGGUAUCCAACCAGAAAGCCACGGCUAACUACGUGCCAGCAGCCGCGGUAAUACGUAGGUGGCAAGCGUUAUCCGGAUUUAUUGGGCGUAAAGCGAGCGCAGGCGGUUUUUUAAGUCUGAUGUGAAAGCCCUCGGCUUAACCGAGGAAGUGCAUCGGAAACUGGGAAACUUGAGUGCAGAAGAGGACAGUGGAACUCCAUGUGUAGCGGUGAAUGCGUAGAUAUAUGGAAGAACACCAGUGGCGAAGGCGGCUGUCUGGUCU
Molecule: ribosomal RNA, 742 nt
Filed under: uncultured Bacilli bacterium
Lineage: Bacteria; Bacillati; Bacillota; Bacilli
Description: bacterial SSU rRNA
Rfam family: Bacterial small subunit ribosomal RNA
Source: RNAcentral